Molecule: ribosomal RNA, 477 nt
Filed under: uncultured bacterium
Lineage: Bacteria
Description: partial 16S ribosomal RNA
Rfam family: Bacterial small subunit ribosomal RNA
Source: RNAcentral
UGGGGAAUUUUGGACAAUGGGCGAAAGCCUGAUCCAGCAAUGCCGCGUGUGUGAAGAAGGCCUUCGGGUUGUAAAGCACUUUUGUCCGGAAAGAAAUCCUUGGCUCUAAUACAGUCGGGGGGAUGACGGUACCGGAAGAAUAAGCACCGGCUAACUACGUGCCAGCAGCCGCGGUAAUACGUAGGGUGCAAGCGUUAAUCGGAAUUACUGGGCGUAAAGCGUGCGCAGGCGGUUGCUAAGACCGAUGUGAAAUCCCGGGCUCAACCUGGGAACUGCAUUGGUGACUGGCAGGCUAGAGUAUGGCAGGAGGGGGUAGAAUUCCACGUGUAGCAGUGAAAUGCGUAGAGAUGUGGAGGAAUACCGAUGGCGAAGGCAGCCCCCUGGGCCAAAUACUGACGCUCAUGCACGAAAGCGUGGGGAGCAAACAGGAUUAGAUACCCUGGUAGUCCACGCCCUAAACGAUGUCAACUAGUUGUU